CCUACGGGUGGCAGCAGUGGGGAAUAUUGCACAAUGGGGGAAACCCUGAUGCAGCGACGCCGCGUGAGUGAAGAAGUAACUCGUUAUGUAAAGCUCCAUCAGUAGGGAAGUAAAUGAUGGUACCUGUGUUAGUAGCUACGGCUAACUUCGUGCCAGCAGCCGCGGCAAUACGUAGGGUGCCAGCGUUAUCCGGAUUUACUGGGUGUUAAGGGAGCGUAGACGGCAGUGCAAGUCUGGAGUGAAAGGCGGGGGCUCAACCCCCGGACUGCCCUGGAAACUGUACGGCUGGAGUGCAGGAGAGGUAAGUGGAAUGCCUAGUGUAGCGGUGAAAUGCGUAGAUAUUAGGAGGAACACCAGUGGCGAAGGCAGCUUACUGGACUGUAACUGACGUUGAUGCUCGAAAGCGUGGGGAGCAAACAGGAUUAGAUACCCGGGUAGUC
This 440-nucleotide ribosomal RNA is filed under the name uncultured bacterium. RNAcentral describes it as "partial 16S ribosomal RNA". It matches the Rfam family "Bacterial small subunit ribosomal RNA", at positions 338 to 795 of the family's 1533-position model. The record is from RNAcentral.